AUGCAGAACAUGAAUCUUUAGUAACUGUUGCACUUCAUGGUUUUGUAUGCUUGAAGCACAUUGGCAACAAGCCACACAUAGUUUGGUGCUCUGUAGUUGCCAAGAAAAUUCUCAACAUCUUUGAAUACCUUCCACGUGAGUUUUUCAGUUCCACUAGAAAUUCUUUGAAAUGCUUGUCAUUGGUUACCUAUUUAAUUUGUGGAUCAAUAAAAAUGUCUUCCUUAAUCUUGGCAUCAAUUCUUCUGACUUGAAUUAUGAAUUGAAAUAAAAAAUAUUGGCUAUUUAAAAAAAAAUGGCACAUGAUAGAGACAUUUCAAGGUGAUUUUCAUGAUCAGCAGCCCAAAAUCCAUAAGGUACACCCAAAAAUAUUCAGGAAGCAAAAUCUUUGUUGUCCUUUGAUAUGAGGCAUUGAGAAGACCAUAAGACAUAGGAGUAGAAUUAGGCCAUGCAGCCCAUUGAGUCUGCUCCACCAUUCCACGGCUGAUCCCAGAUCCCACUCAACCCCAUACACCUGCCUUCUUGUAAUAACCAUUGAUGCCCUGUCUGAUCUGUAAACAACAAAAGGGUAGACGGAAUCCAUAGAAGGAAUGGUGAUUUGGAAAAAUAAACUCAACUUAAUUCUCAAUUCCAGAUUCUCCUUGGCAACCAUGAACCACAGUAACAGGAGCCAUGUUGUGUUCAUCCUGCAAGGAGUCCCCAGUGGUGAUGGGUACGAGCUGAUCAUCUUCAUCGUCUUUCUGUUGGUUUACAUUGUUAUUCUGAUUGCCAACCUCACAAUCAUAUAUCUGGUCAAGUCAGAGCCCAAGAUGCACAGCCUCAUGUACUAUCUGCUCUGCCUCCUAGCUGCCAUCGAUAUUGUUCUCAGUAACGUGACCAUCCCCAAGCUCCUGGCCAUGUACUUCUCCCGGUCCAAGGCCAUCUCCCUGGAGGCCUGCGCCACCCAGAUGUUCUUCGUCUACUGCACGGCACUGAGCGAGUCUACCCUGCUGGUGGCCAUGGCAUUCGACCGCUACGUGGCCAUCUGUCACCCGUUCCACUACCACAAGCUGACACUGAGCCGGAUUCUCCUGGUGGUGGGGGUGAUCGUCAUUCUCCGAGCAUCCUGCUUCAUUGCAGUCGCCGUCCUGCUGACUCAAGCCACGUACUGCACCUCCAACUACAUCCGGAACUGCUACUGCAACUAUGGCUCCCUGUCCAAGCUGGCCUGCCGCGGGGUGACAGCAAGCGACGCCAUCACGUACCCCUUAUCGUUCCUCAUCACGCUGCCUGACAGCUCACUCAUCGGCUACUCCUACUUCAAGAUCUACCGGGAGGCGUCCAAGAGCGGCCAAGGUGAGGCGCGCAGCAAGGCCCUCAACACCUGCACUACUCACAUCUGCGUCCUGACGCUGUUCUACACCAGCGCCCUCUUCGAGUUCGUCAUGUACCUGGUACCGAGCCUGUUCACUGAUGAGCUCCACUUUGUGGUGGCAGUCACCUUUGUCAUCUUCCAGCCCAUCUUCAACCCGAUCAUCUACGGGGUGAGGACAAAGGAGAUCAGGAACACCUUCCUGAAGCUAAUGGGCAAGAGGAGGGUGGCGGACGGACCCUGAGCGACGCACACACACAAAUCAGUGGAAGAGCUGAAGGAAAGGCAGCACCCCUGAAGGGAAACAGGCCGUUGACCCUUCAGAAUCAGGCAUACGCAGUAAUCCAAGAAACACAAUAGAAUCAGUGGAAGACCAGACUCAGCAGGAUUGACAAACAGCCAGUGUGCAAAAGACAACAAACUGUGCAAGUACAAAAAGUCAAUGUUUCUCACUCUCUGCAUGCCACCUUGGCUGAACAGAGGAGCACUUUUAGUCAUAGACUAAGACAAAUGCACUGCUCCAAAGAGUCCUAUAUGAGGUUUUUUAUUAUCCUCGGCCAUUGGGCUCUAUAUUGAGUCAACCCUAUAGCCAGGACAGUGAUGUCUCCUCUUGUUAGACUGUUUCUGGUAACUUAUUUUUUAUUCUUUCUACUUCUCUUCUAAUAUUUAUAUCUGUGUACUUGUAAUGCUGCUGUGACACUAAUUUCCUUUGGGAUCAUUACAGUAUCUAUCUAUUUACCUAUCUAUCUAAAUAAAUAAAAAAUAAAUGCUGAGAAUAUGAAAUGAAGAGUCCUUGAAAGUGAGCCUAUAGGUUGUGGGAGCAGGUCAAUGAUGAGGCAAAUGAAGUUGAGUGAAGCUAUCCCCUCUAGUUCAAGAGCCUGAUAAUUGAGGGGUAAUAACUGUUCCUGAACCUGAUGGUGUGUAUCCUGAGGCUCCUGUACCUUCUCCCUGGUGGCAACAAUGAGAAGAGAGCAUGGUCUGGGUUGUCGGGGUCCUUGAUCAUGGGUGCUGCUUUCCUGCGGCAUCACUCCGUGUAGACAGGCUCAAUGGUGGGGAGGGGUUUUAAAGUUUUCUUGAAUGUUUUAGAUGACACACCGAAUCUGCAUAAACUUCCAAGAAAGUAAAGGCUCUGAUGUCCCCUCUUUGUAAUGGCAAUUGAGGCCCUUCAGCCCACCAUUUGCAUGCUAAGCAUCAAAUGCCCAUCUAUGCUACGUUGAGUUGUGAACAUCCCCACUUCUCUUCUCAAUUCCACCCAACCUGCUCAACCCUUUGUCAUCAGACAUGCUUAGAGAGGUUGGUUAUGACGAGACUGAGCUCCUGCCUCAGCAAGGACCUGGACCCACUGCAAUUUGCCUGUUAUCACAAUAGGUCAACGGCAGACGCAAUCUCCAUGGCUCUUCACACGGCUUUAGACCACCUGGACAACACAAGCACCUACAUCAGGAUGCUGUUCGUCGACUAUAGUUCAGCAUUUGAUACCAUCAUUCCCACAAUCCUGAUUGAAAAGCUGCAGAAUUUGCAUCUCUGUACCACUCUCUGCAAUUGGAUCCUCGACUUCCUAACCGGAAGACCACAGUUUGUGUGGAUUGAUGAUAAAAUAUCCUCCUCGCUGACGAUCAACACCAGUGCACCUCAGGGGUGUGUGCUUAGCCCACUGCUCUAGUCUCUAUAUACACAGGACUGUGUGGCUAGGCAUAGCUCAAAUACCAUCUGCAAAUUUGCUGACGAUACAACCAUUGUUGGUAAAAUCUCAGGUGGUGACGAGAGGGCGUACAGGAGUGAAAUACGCCAACUAGUGGAAUGGUGCCGCAGCAACAACUCAAUGUCAGUAAGAUGAAAGAGCUGGUUGUGGACUUCAGGAAGGGUAAGAUGAAGGAACACAUACCAAUCUUCAUAGAGGGAUCAGAAGUGGAGAGAGUGAGCAGCUUCAAGUUCCUCGGUGUCAAGAUCUCUGAGGAUCUAACCUGGUCUCAAUACAUUGGUGUAAUUAUAAAAAAAACAAGACAGUGGCUAUACUUUAUUAGGAGUUUGAAGAGAUUUGGAAUGUCAACAAAUACACUCAAAAACUUCUAUAGUUGUACCAUGGAAAGCAUUCUGACAAGCUGCAUCACUGUCUGGUAUGGAGGGGCUACUGCACAGGACUGAAAGAAGCUGCAGAAGGUUGUAAAUCUAGUCAGCUCCAUCUUGGGUACUAGCCUACAAAGUACCCAAGAUAUCUUUAGGGAGCGGUGUCUCAGAAAGGCAGCGUCUAAUAUUAAGGACCUCCAGCACCCAGGGCAUGCCCUUUUCUCACUGUUACCAUCAGGUAGGAGGUACAGAAGCCUGAAGGCACACACUCAGCAAUUCAGGGACAGUUUCUUCCCCUCUGCCAUCCGAUUCCUAAAUGGACAUUGAAGCUUUGGCCACUACCUCACCUUUUUAAUGUAUAGUAUUUCUGUUUUUGCACAUUUUUAAAAAUCUAUUUGAUAUACUUAAUUGAUUUUCUUGUUUAUUCAUUAUUAUGUUUUAUUUUAUUUUAUUUUCUCUCUCUUUCUGCUAGAUUAUGUAUUGCAUUCUACCGCUGCAGCUAAGUUAACGAAUUUCAUGUCACAUGCCAACGAUAGUAAACCUGAUUUCUGAUUCAAUACAAUGUACAUUCCCUGAAUGGUGUCAUUUCUAAGAGUGUUGAGCUAAUCAUAGACUUAGAGGGUCCCACAGCACAGAUACAGCCCCUUUGGCUCAACCAGUUCAUGCCGAACACUGUGCCCACUCAGUCCAAAUCUCCUGUGUUUGGCCGAUAUACCUCCAAAGUUCAAAGUAAAACUUAUUAACAAAGUCAAUAUUAUUAUCAAGCCUCACCCUCAAUGCACCUGUCCAAGUGCUUCUUAUACAAAACUAAUGUAUCUGCCUCAACCACUUCCUCUACAGCUUGUUCCAUAUAAUCACCACCCUCUGUGAAAACGUUGUCCCACAGGUCGUUUCUAAACCUUUCCCCUCUCACCCUAAACCUACUUUUGGACUCUGCUACCCUGGUAAGACUUCCAUCUGCCUCCCAACCACUGAGUGCAUCUACACAGAGCACCGUCGCAGGAAAGCAGCGUCCAUCAUCAAGGAUGCCCUCUACCCAGGGCAUGCUCGCUUCUCGCUGCUGCCAUCAGGAGCCUCAGGAUCCACAUCACCCAGUUAUUACCCCUCAACCAUCAGGCUCCCGAACCAAAGGGGGUUACUACACUCAACUUCACUCGGUCUGUCAGUGAGCUGUUGACUCACGUUCAAGGACUCUUCAUCUCAUGUUCUCAAUAUUUAUUGCCUUUUUUUAUUUAUUAUUGCUAUUUUUUAUUUUUUGUGCUCGCAUGCACAUGAUGUCUUUUGCACAUUGUCCAUCCUGUUGGGUGCAAUCUUUCAUUGAUUCUAAGGCAACAUGAGUGAAUCUGCAGAUGCUGGAAAUAAAUAAUAACAAAAACACAAAAUGCUGGCAGAACUCAGCAGGCCAGACAGCAUCUAUGGGAGGAGGUAGUGACGACGAAUUGGCCCGAAACAUCGUCACUACCCUCUCCCAUAGAUGCUGUCUGGCCUGCUGAGUUCUGCCAGCAUUUUGUGUUUUUAUUUCUUUCAUUGAUUCUAUUGUGUUUCUUGGAUUUAGUGUAUAUGCCCGCAAGAACAUAAAUCUCAGGGUUGUAUAUGGUGACGUAUGUGGAGUUUGGUUCCUUAAGGCUGUUAUAGCUGAGGGUGGUACUGGGGACGAGCUCCCAAUGGCUCCCAAUCCAGCUCCUGGCCUUGACGUGUGGCUUAUCUACUAAGCCUGGUGGAAGUGUUUCUACUGACAGGAGAAGGGGCAAAGAUGGGUUAGGGGCCCCUUAAACCCAGUCAGACUCGUCAGCUGCGGUUGGCAGUUCUUCUAGGAUUAUGAAAAUUCUGAUCGCAAACAUCGCAGCCUUGCCUACCCACUCACGGGGAAGGCUUCGGGAGUAAAUCCCGAGGGGAAAGUCUGGAGCUGGAGUCCCUCAGGCAGGCCUACAUGGAGUUCAACACCGUCUGGCAAUUUCUGUGAUGUCAGUGGUGCCAAACUGUAUCGGUCUCGGCCGUUCCUUUUGGGUUCAUCGGGUGUAUGGAGGGGGGAGGGGGGUGCCUGCUGCGUGGGCAACAGCUUGCCCUCCAUAUCGUACUGCCCAGGCUUGUGUAUCAUGUAGACAGCUAGGCCGCAAUACCCUGGGACCAACAGAGGCCUCUGCAGUAUACUUUCAUAGUAAGUGUACUUUGAUCUUUGAACCAUAUCUAUGACUCUCAUAGCCUUACACAUUUCCAUGAGGUCAUCCCUCAUUCUCCCACGUUCCAAGGAAUAUCGGCCAACCUCUUCCUAUAACUGCGGCUGGGUUUGAUUUCUAGUUUAGUUCCGCACAGUGUCAUGGGUGAAGGAGCUGUCCCUGUCCUGUGCUUUUCACCUGUUAUGAACCCCAGUUUCAAUUCCUGGGGGGCUGCGAUUUAGUUUCUUGUAGUGUCACGCGAUGACCUACCCCCAACAGUAUAAAAGGAGCCGCGCAGAUUGCUCCGGACACACUUUGGGGGCGACCCGCUUUGGUGGAGAGUGAGUGGUUAGUGAGAGGGAAGAGUGCGAGUUUCGAUCGAGCCCGAAAGGGAGUGGGUGGGUAAUCGAUGGCGCUGCGCCUCUCCGAGGUGACUGACAUUUCCUGACCCGAACGUGGAGUUUUUGGCACCCACUUUGCUGACCCCAGCCAAGCCUCGGGUGUGUGGCGACCUGUCCUGGAACAGGGCCGUCUCCUGUCAGACCACACCGUGAACUCUGUAAAGGUACGGUGGCGGUUUGGUGAGAUCGGCGCUC
RNA transcript from Hypanus sabinus (Atlantic stingray), 6167 nucleotides. It is a transcript of the gene named olfactory receptor 52E2-like, with no coding region annotated. The record is from RefSeq and is a predicted model, not a curated record. The transcript has 2 exons. Lineage: Eukaryota; Metazoa; Chordata; Chondrichthyes; Myliobatiformes; Dasyatidae.